UAAACCCAAGGUUUCCUGGGCCAGGUUCGUCCUCCCAGGGUUAGCCGGGAGCUAAGAUGAGGCCGUAAGGCGUAAUCGAUGCACAGCAGGUUAAAUAUUCCUGCGCCCGCCGGGAUUAAGGCUGCGAAUGACGCAUGGAGAGACAUUGACUAGGCAAUCGAAUGCUGAGCUUAGGCUUCGGCCAAAGCGCAUCAGUGGGUCUCUGUGCCGAGAAAAGUUUGCAGUCGUUUCCCCGACGGCCCGUACCGUAAACCGACACAGGUGGGUGAGUGUAAGCGCACUCAGGCGCGCGAGAGAAACCUCUCUAAGGAACUCGGCACAUUAGCCUCGUAACUUCGGGAAAAGAGGUGCUCACUUCGGUGAGCCACAGUAAAUUGCGUUUAGCGACUGUUUAACAAAAACACAGCUCUCUGCAAAGUCGUUAAGACGACGUAUAGGGAGUGACAAGUGACCAAUGCGGAAAGAUUAAGAGAUUUUGUUAGCCGCAAGGCGAAGCUCGGUCUUUAAGUCCCCGUGAAUGUCGGCCGUAACUAUAACGGUCCUAAGGUAGCGAAAUUCCUUGUCGGGUAAGUUCCGACCUGCACGAAUCGUGUAACGACUGAACGACUGUCUCGGAGAGGAUCUCGGCGAAACUGUAACGGCGGUGAAGAUGCCGCCUGCCCGCAGUAGGACGGAAAGACCCUAUGCACCUUUACUGUAAGCUCGUAUUGUGUUCUGGUUGGCGAUGCGUAGCGUAGGUGGGAGACUUUGAAGCGGGUGCCUCGGUGCCCGUGGAGUCGCAAUGUGAAACACCACUCUUUGCUAAUUAGGAUUCUAACCCCGAUCUGUGAUCCAGACGGGGGACAGUGCGUGCAGGUCAGUUUGACUGGGGCGGUUUCCUCCAAAAGAGUAACGGAGGAGCGCUAAGCUUGGCUCAGCACGGUCGGCAACCGUGUGUUGAGCGUAUGGGUAGAAGCCAGGUUAACUGUAAGACCUACAAGUCGAGCAGAUGCGAAAGCAGGCCCAAAUGAUCCGACGGUUUAAUGUGGAAUUGCCGUCGCUCAUCGGACAAAAGGUACGCUAGGGAUAACAGGCUGAUCGGAUCCAAGAGUUCAUAUCGACGAUCCGGUUUGGCACCUCGAUGUCGGCUCAUCGCAUCCUGGGGCUGGAGAAGGUCCCAAGGGUCCGGCUGUUCGCCGGUUAAAGCGGUACGCGAGCUGGGUUCAGAACGUCGUGAGACAGUUCGGUCCUUAUCCACUGUGGGCGCAGGAAACUUGAGGGGUUCAAACCUUAGUACGAGAGGACCGGGUUUGACGCACUUCUGGUGUGGCAAUUGUUCCGUCAGGGGCAUCGUUGCGUAGCCAUGUGCGGAAGAGAUAAGCGCUGAAAGCAUCUAAGUGCCAAGCUCAUCCCAAGAUAAUGUUUCCCGGACGCAAGUCCCUAAAGACCACGGGCAGACCACCCGUUUGAUAGGCUGGGAGUGUAAGCGCCGCGAGGCGUUCAGCUGACCAGCACUAAUCGGUCGUGCGGCUUGAUUGC
RNAcentral lists this ribosomal RNA (1518 nucleotides) under soil metagenome. Its description in RNAcentral is "bacterial LSU rRNA". It matches the Rfam family "Bacterial large subunit ribosomal RNA", at positions 1340 to 2925 of the family's 2925-position model. The record is from RNAcentral.